Molecule: non-coding RNA, 905 nt
Organism: Salvia hispanica
Lineage: Eukaryota; Viridiplantae; Streptophyta; Magnoliopsida; Lamiales; Lamiaceae
Source: RefSeq, a predicted model, not a curated record
ACCCUAAUCUCUCUGCCUUCACCAAAUGUUCGAAACGACGACGCGACGACUCCUCCCCACUCUCAGUCGCCGACGAUGCGAUCUGGGACACGGUACAACACCAAAUGGUUAAAAACUCUUUUCCGCCACUGACCACCAAGAAUCAGUGGCUACUGUCGACAAUGGAGAUGAACUCUGCAGUAUAUGGUCAUAGAUAGGGAGAAAAGCUCUCUUGGAUUUGAGGAGUUCUUGAAGAAAAUCUGAGACAGAAACUUAUUCUCAAAAAUAGCGGUGGCAGAUAAUGAAAGCAAAGUUAAGACAAAUAUUCAUGAGGAAAUGAUCUCCAACAAUGACAAAAAGCAUCAAAGACAAACCAAUAUUAAAUCCUGAUACUGGAUGAGUCAAUUUGCAGGAGAUGAUAUAAAAGAACAGACAUCAUGAAGGGGCCAUGACCGGAAGAAUAAAAAGUUAGCAGUGGAUGCUAUGGCAGAUUAAAGGUGAUUCAUUCAGCCGUGACACAAUACAAACCCUAAUAUAAAUGAGCCGCCUCUCACUCUACAGAAUAAGGAGAGAGGGUUCUAGACAACUGGAACGCCACAAUCCACAAAGAGAGCACGGAUAACGUGGCAGGCGUGGGUGCCUAAACUCUACUCUACUCUACUCUACUUUACUCAUCAGCACAAAACAGAAAAGGGACAACAUCUCAUUGAAAAGAGACAAAUGGAUCACUGACAACUUUCUCUCUCAUUUCAAAAAUAGAUUUUGUAAUAGAAGAAAUAGAUUUAGUAAUAGAUAGUAGUAAUAAAAUACUACAACCUAUACAUACCUUCAAGGCUGCAACGCCAUAGUAGACUGGAUCUAUUGUGUGCAAAGAGAAAAUAGGCGUGCAACUCAAAAAAUGAAUUUUUAAAGCAUACAAAAUUAUU